Bubalus bubalis (water buffalo) is the source of this 2057-nucleotide long non-coding RNA. RefSeq lists it as uncharacterized. Lineage: Eukaryota; Metazoa; Chordata; Mammalia; Artiodactyla; Bovidae. The record is from RefSeq and is a predicted model, not a curated record. The transcript is spliced from 4 exons.
AACUCAAGUCAUCUUUGAAGGGACUGGGGACUAAGAUAUCAACAUAUCUUUUAGGGGGACAAUUCAACCCACAAUGGUGAUUAUGACUCUGCAAGUUUGUGUGUGGUGUACAUGAGUGUGUGUGUCAAUGUGGGUGUGAAUAAGUGUAAGGGAGGAGUGAGAGUAUAUGUGUGAGUGCUUGUGGAAAUGUGUCUCUGGUUGUGCUUAUGUGGCUGUGGACACAUGUACAAGAGCAUGUAUGUAUGUGUACCCUGUGUCCAUGGCUUGGACAACCUUCUGGAAGGGCUGAGAAACGUGGCAAGGUAGCGAGAUAGCCACAGGCCUGGUUCCACGCUCCCAGCUGGGGCGGCCCCGUGAGUCAAGAGGGCGGAAGACUGUGAGAAGCAAGGACAAGGGUGUUUGCUGAGCUGGGUACAGCCCGGGAGGUCGAGGCAGUGGCUCCAGGCAGCAGCGUGGUUCCCAGGUCCUCUUCCAGGAACGUUCCUAGAAGGCCCCUCCACCCAAGCACCCAUCCCCAGAACCCCAUUUGCCUGGAUGGGGCUGUGCGGGCUGACUCAUCCCCUUCCUGGGCUGGAAGCCAGCACUCAGCUACCUGUUGGGCCAGUCAAGUAGGGGCGGGGCAGUCAGUCAGCCCCUCCCAGGCCCUGCCCUCAGGCCAAUCCGGAGCAGCGCCCCAUCAGCCCCAGCACAUGACCAGGGCUGGACCCCAGGAAGUGAAGAAAGCCAGCGGUGAGCACAUGGUCAGGGUCCCGGUUUUCGUUUUGGUGUGGUGGUGAGCUUGUUGUCUGUGAGGAUGUCGGCUGGUUUGUGUGUACACAGGAGAAGAGGAUGUGCGGCGUACCUCCGGGUGGGUUUGCCUGCCUGGGACACCCAGGGGCAUGGCUGCAGGCUGCAUCUGCGAGUGUGCCCUGGUGCAGGUGUGUGAGUAGCUGUGGGGGUUCAGAAGAGCCUGCCCCCUACGUGUGUGGGUGUCCACAGGGUGCCGCCCCACCGCUUCCCCCUUACCAGGUCACCGCCACCAUCCUCGGCAGAGCCCCUGGCCCAGGUUGGUGAAGACGGAGAUAGAGGUCUCUUUUCACCACAAGACCGCCAGGCACAAGCAUCCUACAUGGCCAUACCUACCGUGCUGAAGGCCAGAGCAUCCAGGAGGUGUAUGAGCCAUCAGCCAUCCCCAAGGACAGGAACAGAGGGUGCUGCUACAGAGGACAGCACAGGCAAAGGCUGGGUGGUGGGGUUUGUGAGGCUGAUGGACGACAGAGGCUUGGCAGCAGUGGUUAUGGGGAGAGAGGAGGGGUGCAGGGCCAUUCUGCACUGAGGGCCACCCUGCCCCUUCCUGGCAGAAAACUGGGUAAACAGACUCGGAUAUUCUUCCACACGCUGGGCACAGCUUCUGCUGAGGCAGGGGGGUCAGGACCAGUUCGAGAGCCACACUGAAUGAAGACCCACCCUCCAAGUCCCCAGAUCCUUCAGCUCUAAAGAACCCGCAACCCUGAAUGCCAAGAAACAGGACCCAUCCAGCUGCAGUUCAGUCCUCUGGGCCCCCAGCGCCCCCUGUAGGCAGGACGCUACACCAGUAGGGGGAGGGGCUUCCACGUGCUGGGAAGAGAAAAGGAGACGAGACUUGCUCUCCAGGAGGUACGAAGACACCACCUCAGGAACCUGCAGUGGGAUAAAGGCACAAACGUUGACCUCAAAGCUCCAAUCUGAAAUUCAGCCUCUGUCCUCAGGAAGCUUCCACUGUGAUGGAAAUAUACACUCUACCAUCAGAACUCCAUUCAGAAAGUAUCUCCUUCAGUCCACCUGCGCGCAGGGAGCCUGCCACAUGGCUGGGUGCAGGGGACCGGACUCGAAGCUGGGGAAAGAGCCGCAGGACCUAGGAGCGCCCCCUGGAGGGGGGACGAUGCUCUGGCCACGCCCCUCGCUGCCCCGCCCCCAGGCCCCGCCCACUGUGUCCUCGGAAGUGGGGAAGCUCCGCCAGCAGCCCCGAAACAGGUGGCUCCUCGCCCGGGGAAAGUGCCGGCGCCUCCCCGGGCAGGAGUCCCUUCUCCGCAGCCUUU